This 446-nucleotide ribosomal RNA is filed under the name uncultured Lachnospiraceae bacterium. Its description in RNAcentral is "bacterial SSU rRNA". It matches the Rfam family "Bacterial small subunit ribosomal RNA", at positions 335 to 798 of the family's 1533-position model. Lineage: Bacteria; Bacillati; Bacillota; Clostridia; Lachnospirales; Lachnospiraceae. The record is from RNAcentral.
GUGCCUACGGGUGGCUGCAGUGGGGAAUAUUGCACAAUGGGGGAAACCCUGAUGCAGCAACGCCGCGUGAGUGAAGAAGUCAUUCGUGAUGUAAAGCUCUAUCAGCAGGGAAGAAAAUGACGGUACCUGAGUAAGAAGCCCCGGCUAACUACGUGCCAGCAGCCGCGGUAAUACGUAGGGGGCAAGCGUUAUCCGGAUUUACUGGGUGUAAAGGGAGCGUAGACGGCCAGACAAGUCUGAAGUGAAAAUCCAGCGCUUAACGCUGGAAGUGCUUUGGAAACUGCCGGGCUGGAGUGCAGGAGGGGCAGGCGGAAUUCCUAGUGUAGCGGUGAAAUGCGUAGAUAUUAGGAGGAACACCAGUGGCGAAGGCGGCCUGCUGGACUGCAACUGACGUUGAGGCUCGAAGGCGUGGGGAGCAAACAGGAUCAGAUACCCUGGUAGUCAAG